This 458-nucleotide ribosomal RNA is filed under the name Porphyromonadaceae bacterium canine oral taxon 184. RNAcentral's name for it is "bacterial SSU rRNA". It matches the Rfam family "Bacterial small subunit ribosomal RNA", at positions 9 to 460 of the family's 1533-position model. Lineage: Bacteria; Pseudomonadati; Bacteroidota; Bacteroidia; Bacteroidales; Porphyromonadaceae. The record is from RNAcentral.
GAGUUUGAUCAUGGCUCAGGAUGAACGCUAGCGACAGGCUUAACACAUGCAAGUCGAGGGGCAUCACGAAUUUAGCAAUAGUUUGGUGGCGACCGGCGCACGGGUGCGUAACACGUAUACAACCUACCUUUAAUAGAGGGAUAACCUGGAGAAAUUCGGACUAAUACCUCAUAGUAAGAUAUUUAGGCAUCUGGAUAUUUUUAAAGAUUUAUCGAUUAGAGAUGGGUAUGCGUAGGAUUAGCUAGUUGGUAAGGUAACGGCUUACCAAGGCGACGAUCCUUAGGGGUUCUGAGAGGAAGGUCCCCCACACUGGUACUGAGACACGGACCAGACUCCUACGGGAGGCAGCAGUGAGGAAUAUUGGUCAAUGGGCGAGAGCCUGAACCAGCCAAGUCGCGUGAAGGAAGACAGCCUUAUGGGUUGUAAACUUCUUUUGUAGCAGGGGUAAAAGGUUCUUU